RNAcentral lists this ribosomal RNA (482 nucleotides) under uncultured soil bacterium. RNAcentral's name for it is "bacterial SSU rRNA". It matches the Rfam family "Bacterial small subunit ribosomal RNA", at positions 26 to 538 of the family's 1533-position model. The record is from RNAcentral.
AGGACGAACGCUGGCGGCGUGCUUAACACAUGCAAGUCGAGCGGUAAGGCCCUUUCGGGGGUACACGAGCGGCGAACGGGUGAGUAACACGUGAGCAAUCUGCCCUUCACUUCGGGAUAAGCCUCGGAAACGGGGUCUAAUACCGGAUAUGACUGCGCUACGCAUGUGGUGUGGUGGAAAGUUCUGGCGGUGAGGGAUGAGCUCGCGGCCUAUCAGCUUGUUGGUGGGGUAAUGGCCUACCAAGGCUUCGACGGGUAGCCGGCCUGAGAGGGUGACCGGCCACACUGGGACUGAGACACGGCCCAGACUCCUACGGGAGGCAGCAGUGGGGAAUAUUGGACAAUGGGCGAAAGCCUGAUCCAGCAACGCCGCGUGAGGGAUGACGGCCUCGGUUGUAAACGUCUUCUAGCGCCGACGAAGACGAAAGUAGACGGUAGGCGCGAGAAGAAGACAACCGGACCGAACUAACCGUAGCCAGCAAG